GUCAGCAUUCUGUCACCAUCAAACAAAGUACUCCUGUCAGACACCUCAAGCAUUACAAAUAUUAACAAAAAGGUAGGCAGAGGCGUAUAUGAAGUUUGAUGAGGUGUAUGCAGUGGCGGAGCCAGCCCGUGAGUGGAGCCUGAGCAAGACUACCUGUGACGCACUGUGAGCUGCCAUUUGCCCGUGGAAAUAUUGCUUCUGACCCAUACAUAAUCCCAUUGCUUAGGCGUGAUUUUCUGGACUAACCCGGGCAGCUGCACGGGGUCGCUGGGAGGUGGCUCCGCCACUGGAAAUAUGUAAUUAAGCAUCAAGCAAUUCGAAAGGUGGCAGUGGAACUAAGGAAACAAAAAUCUCUCAGUUCUCACGUUAAUCAAAGAACAACCUUACAUUGUUCAUGGCAGCUCGCCACUGUGAUGUGUAGUCAAUAACAUGAUCUCCUCUUGGCAAGCAACAAACAGUGUGGCUGCUCGCCUGAACUGGCAGACAUCUAGGACGGAAGGGAGGAUCAGAUCUGGUCUUUGGUCUACUCGUAGAGUGAAAGUGGAGAGGGGGUCAAAGGCGGCACUGGAACUAAUACUGCAUAAAACAACUUUUCUCAGAGCCCACAUUGAUCAAAGAAAAAACACAUUGUUCAUGCCAGCUCACCACUGUGCAGUGUAGUCGGUAACAUAUUAACAUGUUGACCAGUUGGCUAGUGUGGCUGCUCGCUUAAACUGACUGAUAUCUAGGAGGGAAAGGGGAGCUCAGAUCUUGUCUUCAGCUUGCUAGGAGAGAGGGUUCGGAACUGGGAAGGAACCAUAGCCGCUGAUGCCAGUUGUUGACCGUCUCCAGCCGACAUCUGUUGCCACCGUCCAGAGCAUGUUGUCGCCUCCCUGUCUUCCGUCGUCGUCUCACAGGCACUCUUUUUUCAUUCCCUUUCUUCUUUGUUCCUCCCCCUCCCCACUCUACUUUGCAGCUUGUUGCCCAUAUCCAUCCUCUGCCCCGCUGCUUGCCUCUCAGCUGUCAGCUCUGCGGCUAGUGGUGCUGGAUUCUGCUUGCUCUCCUCUACUCACAUAGAAUUGUACAAGUAUAAGAGUUAGAAAUAGGAGGACAAGGAUUGAGUUGGCAAGCAGUGGACCUGACAGCCUGGUGGUAUUAGAACACUGGGAGAAAGGACUGGAUGAUUUAAUGUGUUUUUGCUUGAGAGAUGUUGUGGGAUGUGUGUCGUAUGAGUGUCGUUUAUUCUGAUUUUUCUCUCUGUUGUAUGAGUGUCGUUUGUUAUGAUUUGACUAAUAUCUGUGAUAAUCUAAUGACCACCUAGGCCGCCACCUAGGUGCCAAGACGAGAUGGCGCCUUGAGUCACGCAACUGGAAGAUGGGUUGUAACUUUGACCCCAAACAAUGUUGAGGCACGUUAGGCAUCAGUGACAUCCCGGCUUAAUUGGAAUGAUAUACUACUCGUAUCAACAAGGUGCACCUUCUUUUCCAGGAGCCCAUCCAAAAGGAACCUCAAAGUUAAGUGUGCUUGGCUUGGAGCAAUUUGAGGAUGGGUAACCGACUAGGAAGUUGACCCCGGGUGCGCACGAGUGAGGACAAAGUGCGCAGGAAAGACCAGUCUAGAUCCUAGGUGGUAGCCAGGUGCAACGGCCAGGAACUGGUGGAUUUUGGCCGGGGCGUUACAAUUGGUAUCAGAGGCAACCCUUGCGGUUAGUGUGUGUGGGUCAGGUGUGCGGGCAUGUGGCGCAUGGCGCGUGUGGCCUGUCAUGGCACAAGGCAUGGCACAUGUGCCGGGCUGGACGCACAGACGUGUGCCAGGAGGGAAAGUUCCUGCUGGGCCGACGUCAAAUGAUAAACUAUUCAUAUCAACAAGGUGCACCUUCUUUUCCAGCUCCCAGAACUACAAAGUUAAGCAUGCUUGGCUUGGAGCAAUUUGAGGAUGAGAGACUAGGAAGUUGAUCCCGGGUGCGCACGAGUGAGGAUAAUGUGCACAAAAAAGAAGUGUCGGUCUGUGGGGCCAGUCUAGAUCCUAGGUGGUAGCCAGGCGCAACAGCGAGGAACCUGUGGGUUUGACCGGGGCGUUACAGCAUCAGUCGGCUGAUCCUGAGAACAGAUCGGACGGCUUGCUGGCCAGCCGAUUGUAAACUUUAUAUAUGUCUCUGCCUACCUGUGAUCAAUCUAAGUUCUCUACUAGGAAUUAUGACAGCAUGCUGUUGAAAAUAUGUGAGCUGUGGAUAGAGAAAGUAAAUCUGUGUAUCACAAGGACAAAUGUGAUGGUUUUAUAAUCAAGGCUUUGCUUCUUUA
Long non-coding RNA from Triticum aestivum (bread wheat), 2279 nucleotides. RefSeq lists it as uncharacterized. The transcript is spliced from 2 exons. NCBI's taxonomy places the organism in Eukaryota, Viridiplantae, Streptophyta, Magnoliopsida, Poales, Poaceae. The record is from RefSeq and is a predicted model, not a curated record.